Molecule: ribosomal RNA, 187 nt
Filed under: Fusarium oxysporum
Lineage: Eukaryota; Fungi; Ascomycota; Sordariomycetes; Hypocreales; Nectriaceae
Description: 5.8S ribosomal RNA
Rfam family: 5.8S ribosomal RNA (bases 31-184)
About the family: 5.8S ribosomal RNA (5.8S rRNA) is a component of the large subunit of the eukaryotic ribosome. It is transcribed by RNA polymerase I as part of the 45S precursor that also contains 18S and 28S rRNA.
Source: RNAcentral
AACUUCUGAGUAAAACCAUAAAUAAAUCAAAACUUUCAACAACGGAUCUCUUGGUUCUGGCAUCGAUGAAGAACGCAGCAAAAUGCGAUAAGUAAUGUGAAUUGCAGAAUUCAGUGAAUCAUCGAAUCUUUGAACGCACAUUGCGCCCGCCAGUAUUCUGGCGGGCAUGCCUGUUCGAGCGUCAUUU